RNAcentral lists this ribosomal RNA (301 nucleotides) under uncultured bacterium. RNAcentral's name for it is "partial 16S ribosomal RNA". It matches the Rfam family "Bacterial small subunit ribosomal RNA", at positions 509 to 809 of the family's 1533-position model. The record is from RNAcentral.
CAGUAGCCGCGGGAAUACAGAGGGUGCGAGCGUUAAUCGGAUUUACUGGGCGUAAAGCGUGCGUAGGCGGCUUCUUAAGUCGGAUGUGAAAUCCCUGAGCUUAACUUAGGAAUUGCAUUUGAUACUGGGAAGCUAGAGUAUGGGAGAGGAUGGUAGAAUUCCAGGUGUAGCGGUGAAAUGCGUAGAGAUCUGGAGGAAUACCGAUGGCGAAGGCAGCCAUCUGGCCUAAUACUGACGCUGAGGUACGAAAGCAUGGGGAGCAAACAGGAUUAGAUACCCGCGUAGUCCCUGUCUCUUAUAA